UACGAAGGGGGCUAGCGUUGUUCGGAAUUACUGGCGUAAAGCGCGCGCAGGCGGUCUUCCAAGUCAGUGGUGAAAGCCCGGAGCUCAACUCCGGAACUGCCAUUGAAACUGUUAGACUUGAGGACGAGAGAGGUGAGUGGAAUUCCCAGUGUAGAGGUGAAAUUCGUAGAUAUUGGGAAGAACACCUGUGGCGAAAGCGGCUCACUGGACCACAACUGACGCUGAGGCGCGAAAGCUAGGGGAGCAAACAGG
RNAcentral lists this ribosomal RNA (252 nucleotides) under uncultured bacterium. RNAcentral's name for it is "partial 16S ribosomal RNA". It matches the Rfam family "Bacterial small subunit ribosomal RNA", at positions 524 to 776 of the family's 1533-position model. The record is from RNAcentral.